GUAACAAGGUCUCCGUUGGUGAACCAGCGGAGGGAUCAUUACCGAGUUUACAACUCCCAAACCCCUGUGAACAUACCACUUGUUGCCUCGGCGGAUCAGCCCGCUCCCGGUAAAACGGGACGGCCCGCCAGAGGACCCCUAAACUCUGUUUCUAUAUGUAACUUCUGAGUAAAACCAUAAAUAAAUCAAAACUUUCAACAACGGAUCUCUUGGUUCUGGCAUCGAUGAAGAACGCAGCAAAAUGCGAUAAGUAAUGUGAAUUGCAGAAUUCAGUGAAUCAUCGAAUCUUUGAACGCACAUUGCGCCCGCCAGUAUUCUGGCGGGCAUGCCUGUUCGAGCGUCAUUUCAACCCUCAAGCACAGCUUGGUGUUGGGACUCGCGUUAAUUCGCGUUCCUCAAAUUGAUUGGCGGUCACGUCGAGCUUCCAUAGCGUAGUAGUAAAACCCUCGUUACUGGUAAUCGUCGCGGCCACGCCGUUAAACCCCAACUUCUGAAUGUUGACCUCGGAUCAGGUAGGAAUACCCGCUGAACUUAAGCAU
This 539-nucleotide ribosomal RNA is filed under the name fungal sp. 144c2f. Its description in RNAcentral is "eukaryotic LSU rRNA". The stretch from base 190 to 343 matches the Rfam family "5.8S ribosomal RNA". The record is from RNAcentral. Lineage: Eukaryota; Fungi.